UACGUAGGGAGCAAGCGUUGUUCGGAUUUACUGGGCGUAAAGGGCGCGUAGGCGGUGCGGUAAGUCACUUGUGAAAUCUCUGAGCUUAACUCAGAACGGCCAAGUGAUACUGCAGUGCUAGAGUGCAGAAGGGGCAAUCGGAAUUCUUGGUGUAGCGGUGAAAUGCGUAGAUAUUACAAGGAACACCAAUGGCGAAGGCAGCUUGCUGGGCCUUUUCUGACGCUGAGGUACGAAAGCGUGGGGAGCGAACAGG
RNAcentral lists this ribosomal RNA (253 nucleotides) under uncultured bacterium. RNAcentral's name for it is "partial 16S ribosomal RNA". It matches the Rfam family "Bacterial small subunit ribosomal RNA", at positions 524 to 776 of the family's 1533-position model. The record is from RNAcentral.